UGGAGGGCAAGUCUGGUGCCAGCAGCCGCGGUAAUUCCAGCUCCAAUAGCGUAUAUUAAAGUUGUUGCAGUUAAAAAGCUCGUAGUUGAAUUUCGGGAUCAAUGUUUCGGUCAUGCCGUUGGUAUGUACUGAUAUUAUUGAUUUCUCACCUUCUAAAGAACCGUAAUGCCAUUAAUUUGGUGUCACGGGGAAUUAGGACUGUUACCUUGAAAAAAUUAGAGUGUUUAAAGCAGGCUCACGCUUGAAUACAUUAGCAUGGAAUAAUGAAAUAGGACAUCCGAUUCUAUUUUGUUGGUUUCUAGGAUCGAUGUAAUGAUUAAUAGGGAUAGUUGGGGGCAUUAGUAUUCAAUUGUCAGGGGUGAAAUUCUUGGAUUUAUUGAAGACUAACUACUGCGAAAGCAUUUGCCAAGGAUGUUUUCAUUAAUCAAGAACGAAAGUUAGGGGAUCGAAGACGAUCAGAUACCGUCGUAGUCUUAACCAUAAACUAUGCCGACUAGGGAUCGGAUGAUGUUCAUUUUUUAAUGACUCAUUCGGCGCCUUACGGGAAAC
Molecule: ribosomal RNA, 549 nt
Filed under: uncultured Glomeromycotina
Lineage: Eukaryota; Fungi; Glomeromycota
Description: SSU rRNA
Rfam family: Eukaryotic small subunit ribosomal RNA
Source: RNAcentral